CGCCUGCGCAGUAGCAGGGGCUUUCUAAUCUGCCAUUUGCGUGGGGUGUGGAGCUGUGCGGGUUACGUCUUUCCGUCUCGAUUCUCCCUUGGAGUCUGAAAGUCAACUGCUUGAAAUAUGAAUUGGCAAGUAAGGUCAACAUUCAGGCCUAGAGCAAGACGAGAUGAUGAAAAAUAUUUGAAGCCGUUUGGGCCUGUGGUUGCCCAACAGCCCAGUGCUGAGCAACAAGGAGAGGAGCCACCAACUGAGCGUCAAGAUGUUAUACCUGAUCAAGAGAAAAGAGAUGAAGGAGCACCUGUAGCUCAAGGGCCUGCCCUGGAACCAAAUCAGGAGGAACUGACUCUUCCCAAGACUGAGCGUGAGCAUGGAGAUGGUCCUGAUGUCAAAGGGAAGAGACUCGCAGACCUAGAGCCCCUUAAGAUGCUGGAAGCAGGCGAAGGGAAACCCCAGAAUUGAACGAAGACAAGCUGAAACCAUGUAGACUGUUCUUGUGUUCAAAAUUUGUUAAAAUUAUCUCAAUAAAGUUUUGCAGUUUUGUUCAAA
Long non-coding RNA from Canis lupus familiaris (dog), 543 nucleotides. RefSeq lists it as uncharacterized. NCBI's taxonomy places the organism in Eukaryota, Metazoa, Chordata, Mammalia, Carnivora, Canidae. The record is from RefSeq and is a predicted model, not a curated record. The transcript is spliced from 5 exons.